UCUCCAGUGGAGAAUAGAGGGAGUAAGACAAAAAGAGAAGACCUAAAUAAUCCCAGUCGCAUCGCCUUCUGAAAGGAAAUAAAAACCCAAGAAAGUUAAAAGAAGAUGAAGCAAAACAAGAAGGCUAGAUCAAAGAGGCAGAAUUAGACCGCUUUAGACCAAUAAAUUGUUCCUGGGGUGACACACAGCAAGACGCAAAGAGAAAAGACCAAGGCCCCCGCCGCCGCCGUCUGUCUAGACUCAAGCGACUGGAGGGGCCGACAGAGCUGGUGUUUAAAGUAGAACCUGCCCAAUCCAACAGCCCGAGCGGGGAGCGAUUUCGGGGAGCGCGGGAAGGAACGCACUUCGCCAAGGGAGGGCCGGGUGCCCUCGCCCCCGGCUCAUCCCUGCUCCGAUUUUGCCCGGCGAGCGUCCAGGAGGUUCUGGCAGGACGCACUGCCCCUCUGCUCCGGCCAAGGAGGAUGCGGAUACUGCCCGUAAGGCUUCGGCCUUUAUGGACCCAAGUCAGCCAACUGGGCCGAGUCCUGCGGACACCGAAACCUCCCUUUCGUUUCCAGGCUUCUUUCUCCCCUCUUGCCCUCUGUGGUCUAAUUUAAAACGAAAAGGUCGGAUAAAAUCAGGCUUUCAAUAA
Molecule: small RNA, 631 nt
Filed under: Pongo abelii (Sumatran orangutan)
Lineage: Eukaryota; Metazoa; Chordata; Mammalia; Primates; Hominidae
Description: sense intronic
Source: RNAcentral